GAUGAACGCUGGCGGCGUGCCUAAUACAUGCAAGUCGAGCGAACGGACGAGAAGCUUGCUUCUCUGAUGUUAGCGGCGGACGGGUGAGUAACACGUGGAUAACCUACCUAUAAGACUGGGAUAACUUCGGGAAACCGGAGCUAAUACCGGAUAAUAUUUUGAACCGCAUGGUUCAAAAGUGAAAGACGGUCUUGCUGUCACUUAUAGAUGGAUCCGCGCUGCAUUAGCUAGUUGGUAAGGUAACGGCUUACCAAGGCAACGUUGCAUAGCCGACCUGAGAGGGUGAUCGGCCAAACUGGAACUGAGACACGGUCCAGACUCCUACGGGAGGCAGCAGUAGGGAAUCUUCCGCAAUGGGCGAAAGCCUGACGGAGCAACGCCGCGUGAGUGAUGAAGGUCUUCGGAUCGUAAAACUCUGUUAUUAGGGAAGAACAUAUGUGUAAGUAACUGUGCACAUCUUGACGGUACCUAAUCAGAAAGCCACGGCUAACUACGUG
Molecule: ribosomal RNA, 497 nt
Filed under: uncultured bacterium
Lineage: Bacteria
Description: partial 16S ribosomal RNA
Rfam family: Bacterial small subunit ribosomal RNA
Source: RNAcentral